Molecule: ribosomal RNA, 649 nt
Filed under: uncultured bacterium
Lineage: Bacteria
Description: bacterial SSU rRNA
Rfam family: Bacterial small subunit ribosomal RNA
Source: RNAcentral
AGAGUUUGAUCCUGGCUCAGGACGAACGUUGGCGGCGCGCUUAAUGCAUGCAAGUCGAACGAGAAAUCAUCCUUCGGGAUGGUGGAAAGUGGCGAACGGCUGAGUAACGCGUGAGGGACCUGCCCUGGAGUGGGGAAUAAUUCCGAGAAAUCGGGACUAAUACCGCAUACGCUCUUCCAUGUAAAGGUGGAAGAGGAAAGAUUUAUCGCUCUUGGAGGGCCUCGUGUUCUAUCAGGUAGUUGGUGGGGUAAUGGCCUACCAAGCCUUAGACGGAUAGCUGGUGUGAGAGCACGACCAGCCAGAGGGGGACUGAGACACGGCCCCCACUCCUACGGGAGGCAGCAGCACGGAAUCUUGCACGAUGGGCGAAAGCCUGAUGCAGCGACGCCGCGUGAGGGAUGAAGGCUCUAGGGUCGUAAACCUCUUUUCUCAGGGAAGAGCAGGGACGGUACCUGAGGAAUAAGCCACGGCUAACUACGUGCCAUCCGCCGCGGUAAUACGUAGGUGGCAAACGUUGUCCGGAAUUACUGGGCGUGAUGGGCCCGUAAGCGGUCCAACAAGUCGUUUGUGAAAUCUCCCGGCUCAACCGGGAGUGGUCUAGCGAAACUGUUUGGACUUGAGGAUGUCAUAGGAAGACGGGAUUCCCCGG